Struthio camelus australis is the source of this 4564-nucleotide non-coding RNA. The record is from RefSeq and is a predicted model, not a curated record. Lineage: Eukaryota; Metazoa; Chordata; Aves; Struthioniformes; Struthionidae.
GAGGGCGGCGGCCGGCAAGGUGGAGGGGUCCAAACAGCGUGUCCUGUACUGCAGAAUCAUGAGCAGAUAGUGAGACGGCCUGGAGCUGUACCAGCCCCACCUCACCCCCAAAGACCUGAUGGAUGGGGAAGAGCAGCCUCCUCUCCAGUACCACUGCCCAGGGAAGAAGCUUUCCUAGCCCCUCCUGGCUGAUGUGUACAGCAGGAGCAAGGAGGCAGCAACUCCUUCUUUGAAGUAAGAAGAUAACUGAGCAAGAGUCUCACGUGCAGCCACGUCACUUCACACUGUGGUGUCACCUUAGCAGAAUCUGGAAGUGGACGAGAACUUCUUCCCAGGCAUUCCUUUGAUCACAGUUUCUUGUAAAAAAAGCUACACUGGAUUCUCGAAGGAUUCACAGAGACCUAAAAGACAUUGACCUCAGCACCACUCUUCUAGGACCUUGGAGAAGGAUGGAAAAUGUGAAAAAUAGAAGUAAGGUAUAAGAAGCCUAUAUUAUUCUGUAUUGAAGGAACCAAAGCCGUGUUACCAGAUUCAGUUGUUAUUGUGUAGUAUCAGUAGUAAAAAAGACUUUACAUGUGUGUGUACACGGCGCGUAUGUGUUUUCACAUGCCUGCUGAACUGUAGGCAGACUGGAGCAGAACAUUCACUUCAGUACAUAUGCUCCACUUCAAAAACCAAAUCUGGCGUUCUCCUUAAUUUUCAGAAUUCAAGUGCAAGUUUAUCCAAGCAAGCUUGUAUUUAGAUUCCCGCUCUGCAGUGUCAUGUGCUGCCCAUUUCCAUGGCAGUGUGUAUGUCUGGGUAUGUAUUUGAUAUAUUGUUCGAUCUCUAUGUAACACCAAGUUGGGCAGUCCAGUCUUUCUGCAGGGAUUAAGUUGUUAAAAGAAAGGAUCAGCUGCCAGUUAUUUAUUAUGUGAAACGCAUGUGUCUUGUAACCUUUUUUUAAAAACAGAAAAGACUUUAUUAAGCAAAUCAGUGAAUGCCUGCUUGUGUUGCACAUUGCUCUGUCUUAGGGAAUGCAUAACAAUGCGACUGAUACAGAGCAAAAACAAGCCAAGAAAUACCUCCUAAUGUAGUGCGUUCACUUCUCCCUUGGGAGUUUGCUCUGAAGGUAGGUUGCUGUCCUGAAAUUCUUGCUCCUUCAAACCCAGUGAGUCCUUCAGAUAUUUUAUGUUGGCCAUCGAAGUAUAGCAGCAGCUGCUCUAAGUACUCCAUCAUGCAUUUGGUGACAUACCUGUCAGGUUCAUCAGAGGCAGAAUAGCUUUUGGAAACUACCAGCAAAGAAUAAGAGGUGAGAAGCAGCAGACUGCAAAGCUGCUCUCCGGGGAGAGUUAAAGCCAAGGAGAUUUCAGGCAAGCUGAGGCAGGGGAAAGAAAAGAUUGCAACAGUUCAGUCUUUGCAUUCUUUUGGAGUUGGUCGUGGUACCCUUUAUAAAUCAUAUUCAUCAAGGCUGCUGUCCUCUUUGCGUGGCGCUUCCUCGACAAAGAUAAUAGCCACUGCAAAAUAUCUAAAUACCUCUGCAUGCCUGUGUUUGGUCUAUGGUCUUUUAGGGGUAUUUGUGAUGUUUUAGCUUCUGAGAUCUAGCCUGGAAGAUGCAUAUAGGUCUACGUAUUUCAUUUACUUUACAAAAUCUUGGAGGUGCCCAGAUUUUUCUCCUCCUCUUUAUGAUGGUGCACAUAGUGGCUGAGACCCCACACUCCACACAGGCAAAUUUUGAAUUUCAUUUUGUGGCCUUUUGGGGAAGCCAAAAACAUACAUGGCUUUUUAAAAGUGAUUAAGUAAAUUCAUGGCCUAAGACUAUUGGUGGCUGUUUUGCCCAGGGGUUCAGAGGCAGCUUCCAGCUUGGGACAUCACUGAGCACUUGCUGAUGGGAAAGGCUAUAUUGAGGCAGAGCGUUCUCCAGACACACCUUUACACUCUUCCCUAGCCACCUCCGUUGGCCACCAUCAGAGAGGAUACUUGCAGCACAGCUGUCCUUACCUAAUUAUAAGGAUAACUCUUUGACGAGAGUUGUUCUUAAUCUGAAGUCUUACGCUAUUUACAUUGCUGCGGAGUAUGCAACAACUGUGGGCCUUUUUUUAAACUUUCCCCUUGUAUCUUUUUUGCCUGUAACUGCUUGAUCAGUAAAACAUCAUUCCAAGUAAGACAGAAGGGGUUCAGAAUUACAGCCUAACUUGAAUGAAAUUCAAGUAAAGAUUCGGCAGGCCACACACCUGCAUUCAGGAGAGUUGUGCGUAGCAAGCAUAGGUAGAAAGGUUUCAAUAGACCUGCCCUUUAGAAUUUGUAUCACUUUUAAUCUGAUCGCUACAUGCAGUUUAGCUUGCAUGAAGUCAUAUAUGUUGCAGGAGGUAGUUUUUCAUCUCUGAGUAUGGGAGACUUUCUUGUCCCUCGAGAGUCUCUGUAGCCUGGGAAUAGAGACCUGCAAAGCUGUUGUCAGAUUAGUACUUAAUUUUUUGCAAAAGGUAAAUAGAGCCAGGAAGACAGCAGUGUGCCUAGCGUCCAGGUGUUGUAUGCCUGUUGAAGAAACAGGUCUCAGGCCUAUCUCACGUGACUAAGUCUCAUGCUUGUUCCGGUACAUUUGAAAUCUUGCUUUCUGCUCUGCAACUUGUUCUUGAGAAGACAACGAUAAGAAAGUCCAGUGGCCUCUUUGCAUCCUGAAAGGUAAGCUGGUAGAAGCCAAACUAAAAGAGAGUAAUAAUUGUGAAAGUCAAAAAGAAAAGUAAAUAUUAAUACUUUUCAAGGGAGGAGGGAGGUGGCUGUUUACUUCAGCAAAAUAUUUUGUCCUACUCUGCUUGCAGCAAAACUUGGAAAAGGCAGGUUUACAAGUGUGCUUACAUGGCUGAGAAACUGUUCCUGUCCCCUAGGUCUUCUUGCUUGUAGCGAACUGUAAGAAAAAAACAGAACCCUCUAAACCCAGUAUCUGUUUCUCUGCCUGGUAUGUUUUAGGCUUGAUUGGUUUCUAGUGCCUUGGUUAACUUUUGUAGUCUGUGAAAUAGAUGAGGUUUCAAGGCAGAAGAAAUGUUUCUUAUUUUUUCCUAAAUGCUGAAAAUUACCUUAUUUAGCAAGAAGGAGGGUUUUUUCAUAUAUUUAUAAAUGUUGAGGCAUAACAUUCAUGAGUGGUGAGUAAGUUGCUGCUCGUUUCGUCCCUUUUCUACAGAUUCAGGCUUUUUUACAGUCUCUUCUCCUUUUUCCUGUCCUGAUUCAUCGAGCAGAGAGUUUUGCCAGCUCUCACUUGUUUGUGAUUUAAGAGCUAGUCAGAAAAUGACUGUCAAAGAGGGUUGUGGGCAAUUUUUGCUAGCUAUAUUUAUUAAAAAAACCUCCUUAUUCAGAGAUCCUGCAAUGUCUCCUAGUACGUGCUGGCUACCCACAGGUUCAAGACCUGCCUGCAGAACCUAUGGGGUGGAUUUUUGGGGGACUGCCUCAAAAUUGACUGAGCAGCAGCCAUCUGUUUUUUUUAAUAAUGUUUCAGGGAUGCUGCUUGAAUUUUCCAUUACCUUUUAAAAUCAGUCCCUCGGUUCAAACCUGAUCUUUGUGUGCCUCUCGCUGCCACGUAUCUGCUUCCUCCUGCACUGGUCCUGCUGAUCUUCACUCCAGACCUUGCACCGCGUUGUGAGCUGAGGCAAAACUCAUUAUCUCUGGUGAAAGAACUAGGAAGCCUUUGAGUACAAUGAAAAUAAUAAAUAUGACAAGUGAGGACCAGUAUUACAGCCCUCAAGCAAAGAAACCUCAUUAGUCUAUGGUUUAGUUAUGGCUUUGGUUAUUUACAGUUCAAUAUGUUUUUUGGCUGUCUCUAUACGCCUACAGUGUAACUGUGCUCUAACAAGCGACUGUGCGUUUACAAUGAACACGCUCAUAAAAUUACAGCAACUGUUUCUUCAUGGGGCUUCUGUGAAAAUCCUGCCGUGUUUGUACAUAACAGAUAGGCCUACAGGAAAGUCACAUUGAGUUUUCCCAUUUGAAAUGCCCAGCAAGUAUCAACACAAUAUACAUCUGAAUACAAAUAUUUUCCAUUAGUUCUGUUUAAAGUACUGGCUAACAACAGAGUGUCCACAAAUCAUUCUGUAUUGAAUUUCACACUUGUGCUCAGGCGAUUUACUGUAGGUCUUAUUUCUCUUUUAAACUUUUUUUUUUUUUUCUGAACAGAAAAUUCCCCAAGGAAAUCUCCUUGGUAAUCAGAAAUUAUGUUAGGCAUCCUUUCAAAACAUACUGCUAACUUUCGUUGACUGAAACUAUAUCCAGAAAAGACAAUAAUUACAACGUUAAAAAACUAAUCAGUAGGUAUCUUGCAAGCAUCUCAAGUCAGAUACUGCAUCUAAGGGCUGCGCUGCUUCUAAAAGUAGAAUUUCUGGAUUUGUUUGGAAUAUUUGGAAUAAUAUGAAUAAGUGAUGCCACUACAGUAGGCCAAAGCUAUUUGGAAAAAUGAUUAGAUUGUUUUCAGUUCAUGAAUAAAUACUAAUGAAUUAAAGAUGAAAUAACUUAAGAGUGUAGAUGUACAGGCUCAAAAAUGUCUAUGUGUGGAAAAUACAGCUGAAUAGACAAGCUCAUCGUUUCCAAUUUUAGAAGCUAU